Molecule: unclassified non-coding RNA, 2249 nt
Filed under: Hevea brasiliensis (rubber tree)
Lineage: Eukaryota; Viridiplantae; Streptophyta; Magnoliopsida; Malpighiales; Euphorbiaceae
Source: RNAcentral
CCACUUCAAUUGGUAUUCCAUCGGGACCACAGGUUUUACCCACUUUCAUUAAAAAAUACAUGGAUAUUGAUGUCACGUGUAUCACAAAAGGCAGAAGAAUCUGGCGGAAGAACCUAAAAACACAACAAAAUGGGCAUCACUGAAGCAAAGCAAAUGAAGAAGCAUUGGGUUUAUAGGAAACUUCAAGUAUUUAAUUUCUCUCCUCCUUCCUUCUCUCUGAUUUUUCCCAAUCUUCUUUCCUAAGGUUCACUAGCAGUCGCCCUUCUAUCACUUCACCAAUGCCCUAAGAAUAACUAAAUCUCACUCCUCUCACCCUCUCAUCUCCUGAAAAAUACAGAUCUUGUGCAUCAAAAUGUCCACCACAUCUCAUCGUAUCUAAAUAAAUCUGACCCAAAUCUCACAGUAUCAUGUAUAUCUUUCAAUGAAAUCACAAAAACAGAUAUACGAGGAAGAACGCUGCAAAUAUGAAGAAAAAGCAAAACAGAUGAAGCACAAAAAGUGUCUUUUUGGUCUGGUGGCAUGGGCAAGAACUCCAAGGAAACACAGUCAGAAACAUCAAGCAAAACGUGUAGAUAAGACAAAGAAAUAACCAGAUGAAAAGGCAGAGAGGCCAGGCUUUGUAGGCAGAGUAAACAUGGAGAGCAUAUCCAAAUCAAUAAUAAUUUUCCUGUUCCUGGCAGUGUUCCACAAAUGUAAAGAGCACAGAUAAAAGAUGAAAUGGUCAAAGGAAAAGCUUAAAAAAGCCAGGUUCUUUAAAGACAAAAAGCAUUGAGCAAAAGGGUAAAAUUGUUAUUAAAACAAAAAUCUUGUUUUCAAUUGGGGACUGUUCAUGUGAACAAUAUUGAAUUCUUCUUUAAUAUUUAAGUAUAGAAGUAUAGAUAUGAUCUUGGAAUUUGUUGCAGAAAGUAGUGUUGACAGAGAAAAGAAAAAAGCCAAAAAUUAAUUAGCUAGAAUACCUGCAAAUUUUAAUUUUUAGGUAGUUAUAAUUUUUUAGUAGCACCAUUUCCAUAUCCUCAAAGUAGUCAAGGAGGAGCAAAACUAGCAUUAAAAGACCAUCAACAUUUCUAUAAUUCUAUACUCUGUAACCAAAUUAACAAGAUGAAGGGAUCCAUUCUUGCUGUGUUUCUUCCACAAGGCAGUAUCUAAAACAAUAUAUAAAUCAUCAUCAAGAUUGAAAACUUUCAAGAGUUGGUGCAAAGACAGACUGCAAGUCACUCACAGGGAACCAGCUGAAAAGGGUUGCAAGAAGAAACCAAGAAUACCCAAAAGAAGACAAGAUCAGCCCACAAUAAAUACCCACAGAGUAAACUUGUAAAAAAUUAUUUUGUCAUAAGAAACACGCGAGUGAACAAAGAAGAACACUAAAUUUUCCAACAGUAACUAAUCUUUUGAUGUUGUAGGAUAAGAACAAACAAUUUCUAAAAACAAGACCACCUUAAACACAAGCAAACAAAUUCCACAUAUCGACAAACUAUAAGGUAAGUUAGAUAACCUGAAAAAGGCACUAACCAUGAAAAGCUAAUCUUAAUCCAUAUGAGAUCAAUUUCCAAUGUAAAGCAACUCAAAAAUCAGAUAAGCGAACAUGGAAAUAUACCUGAACAGAAAUUUCAAUAGAGAUAAAGAACACAAUGCAAUCACAACAAAUCAUUUCCCUGAAAGAAAUUACCUUUUCAAUCACAAUUGAGUAGAGAAAUGCCACUGUGUAACAAAAAAAAAUUGCCCAAUAUAUAAUCAGUCACUACAAUAAUUAUUAGAGGUAUUCAACAUUCAUCAUUACAAGUUGAAGACUUUCAUCCGGAAAAUCUGGUAUUUCCAUUUAGCAAGCAUGUUCAGUACUUUUAAUGAUUCAAACACAAUGACAACAAAAGCGCUGCCAACCAAAAGGUAAUUCUGUAUACAAAUAUUUGGAGGCUACAGCAUAGUGGUUUUUCUUUUCAUUCUCUUCUCAAAAUUUGCAAAACAUAAAGUUACAAGGCUAAAAAGAUGAAAAUUGAAUGAAUUAUCACGUGCAAAAGCUAACGAAAAAUCUGACAAUUAAGUGCAAAACUUACUUAUGCUAGAGGUACUCAGGCUCAGUAACUAAUAAGACCAGAAUGUGUCCAUAUAGUAGAAAAUAUUACUGUUGCAAAAAGAACUAAAUAAAAUUUUAUAUGGCUGAUUAUGCAUUUAAUAAAUAAUACAAAUUGUCCUUAUGCUUAGAAUAGAAUGCAUGAAAAGAAAUGUGAAUUCAGUUCCUAAUCACAAACUUA